UACGUAGGGGCUAGCGUUAUCCGGAUUUACUGGGCGUAAAGGGUGCGUAGGUGGUUUCUUAAGUCAGAGGUGAAAGGCUACGGCUCAACCGUAGUAAGCCUUUGAAACUGGGAAACUUGAGUGCAGGAGAGGAGAGUGGAAUUCCUAGUGUAGCGGUGAAAUGCGUAGAUAUUAGGAGGAACACCAGUAGCGAAGGCGGCUCUCUGGACUGUAACUGACGCUGAGGCACGAAAGCGUGGGGAGCAAACAGGAUUAGAUACCCUGGUAGUCCCUGAG
RNAcentral lists this ribosomal RNA (276 nucleotides) under uncultured prokaryote. RNAcentral describes it as "partial 16S ribosomal RNA". It matches the Rfam family "Bacterial small subunit ribosomal RNA", at positions 524 to 801 of the family's 1533-position model. The record is from RNAcentral.